GAUGAACGCUGGCGGCGUGCCUAAUACAUGCAAGUCGAGCGAACGGACGAGAAGCUUGCUUCUCUGAUGUUAGCGGCGGACGGGUGAGUAACACGUGGAUAACCUCCCUAUAAGACUGGGAUAACUUCGGGAAACCGGAGCUAAUACCGGAUAAUAUUUUGAACCGCAUGGUUCAAAAGUGAAAGACGGUCUUGCUGUCACUUAUAGAUGGAUCCGCGCUGCAUUAGCUAGUUGGUAAGGUAACGGCUUACCAAGGCAACGAGGCAUAGCCGACGUGAGGGACGGAUCGCCGACCUGGGAACGGAGACACGGACCAGACGCCUACGGGAGGCAGCAGUCGCGAACCUGCCGCAGUGGGCGAAAGCCUGACGGAGCAACGCCGCGUGAGAGAUAGAAGUGUUGGGAGCGUAAUACUCUGUUAUUAGGGAAGAACAUAUUUGGAAGUAACUGAGGAGAGCGUGACGGUACCGAAUCAGAAAGCCCCGGCUAACUACGUG
This 497-nucleotide ribosomal RNA is filed under the name uncultured bacterium. RNAcentral describes it as "partial 16S ribosomal RNA". It matches the Rfam family "Bacterial small subunit ribosomal RNA", at positions 28 to 507 of the family's 1533-position model. The record is from RNAcentral.